GGACCCUUUUUUAGACCAAAGUGCACAGGAUGGUCGAAAAAAAUGAACCACAACUCCACAUGAGAUGAACAACAUUUUUUCAUGAAGAACCAUCCAUGCAUAUUAAAAUGAAUUUCUCAACAAAUAAUUAAACGCAUUCCCAACAGCAACAAAUCCAAUAAUAGUGAAGUGCACUCGCUGUGCGCCGAGCUGCAGACACACAACAUGUGAACCUUGUCUCGUAUCCAAGGUAGAUGUCGCCGGAGGAGAGGACUGCACGCGAGCCGUAUUUUGCCCUGCACACUCGUGGCCCAACACAGCACACAUAGAUCAGAUAACAUAGCAAUAGAGACUCAAAAAUAGCAUGUAUUAGGGCUGAACUAAACUGAAUGCAUCUAGCUGCCAAAUCAUGUGCGCACCGCCGACGAGCAUAAUACCAGCAGUCUUAUCUUUUUGUGUGCGUUCUUUAUUUUUUGCAUCACAAAAAGUAGAGUGAACCGCAGUGGACAGAGCAGCGAACCUCUGCAAAAGACAGUGAAGCUUUUUCUUACCAAAGUAGAGUGUUGCUUCAUCCUUGCUUUGCAGUCCACACCGAAGAAAACUUCAGUGCACUGAACAUUUCCAUCCAAAAAGAAGAGGAAAGUGAUAUGAAUGAGAGUAGUGAACAUUAGAAAAAAACACCAAACCACACGCUGAUGGUUUUGCUCCCCGAAACCAGCUCGUCAUCGCGUACUGCAUAGGCCCGUGGGCGGAGCUGCAUGCCGCUGUGGGGGCUGAACCCAUGCUGUGGACUGCGCAUGAGAGUGCCUACGUGCUGCGUGCCCGCACGUAGUUGACUGCAUGCGGCCCCGUAGGAGAGGACGACGAGGAGGACCAGAGAGGUAGCCCCACCACGCCACCACCAUGGGAGAGGACGACGAGGACCAGGGAGGCAGCUCCCAUAGGAAACGAUGCCCCGCCGAACCGCAUGCACUCACCGAACGCACUUCACGCCCUCGGUGGCUCGAACUACACAGCGGCGUUGUCCCCUCUGUGCAGUUCUGAUCGAGCACAGGUGUAGCUUCUUAUCGUCAUUGCGGUCCUCUCUGGCCUCGCCCACAUUUCUGAUUGGAGCUUGUUGAGGUUCAAUCAGCAAAAAGUAUGGACUGCACCAGGGAACUAGGAUGCUGGCAGCAACCCGCAUCUAGGCGUCCUCGACCCUCAUCCUUGCCAGGACAAGUGCCAUGGGGCGGCUGGGUAGUUGCUGGGAUCCUCGCCGGAGGAGGAGCUCGUGUCGUCGCCCUCCUCGCUUGUCGGUUGGCGGAGAACCGAAGCCAUCUCCUGUGGGCGCUCAGGGACCAAGUGGCGGCGCGUGGAAGAACCAAAUCCGCUGUAUCCAGCGUGCAAGGCUCUGUGGUUGACCGGGGCCAGCAACUGGGCGACUGGACGCUGCUCGAUCCAUCUCGAGCUUCUUGGGCCGCCACCGUGAACACCAGCGUCGCCCCUUCUUUUGCCAGAUCCGGGGAAGAGGAUGGGGUCUGGCCAUGUCGAGGAGGAAGUAGUGGCGGGGUUGGGAGGGAGGAGCUCGUCGAGGCAGCCGGCAGGAGGAUUUUGAGGCCAGAGCACAACCGCCCACAGCGAGGGGAGGAAGCCAGGGCCUGCCAGCAACGGGUGGCCACGUCCUGGCGACGCCUAGAUCCGGUGGCGGGGCAUGCAGUGGGGGACCGGCGAGCUCGGAUCCAUCACCGCGGGGACAAGCAGAACUCAUAUCCAUCAGGCACUGGUGGGAGGUGA
This 1752-nucleotide ribosomal RNA is filed under the name Triticum aestivum (bread wheat). RNAcentral describes it as "partial small subunit ribosomal RNA". The record is from RNAcentral. Lineage: Eukaryota; Viridiplantae; Streptophyta; Magnoliopsida; Poales; Poaceae.